ACAUCGAUAACAUACUACGACCGUUAUCCGCCAGGGAACUACGAGCAUUAGCUUAAAACCCAAAGGACUUGGCGGUGCUUUAGAUCCACCUAGAGGAGCCUGUUCUAGAACCGAUGAUCCCCGUUCAACCUCACCUCUCCUUGUUCCUCCCGCCUAUAUACCGCCGUCGUCAGCUUACCCUGUGAAGGCCUAAAAGUAAGCAAAAUUGGCAAAGCCCAAAACGUCAGGUCGAGGUGUAGCGUAUGGAGAGGGAAGAAAUGGGCUACAUUCAGUGACCCACUGAAUUACGGAGGACGGACUGAAACGUCCGUCUGAAGGAGGAUUUAGCAGUAAGCAGGA
This 339-nucleotide ribosomal RNA is filed under the name Pseudodax moluccanus (chiseltooth wrasse). RNAcentral's name for it is "partial 12S ribosomal RNA". It matches the Rfam family "Bacterial small subunit ribosomal RNA", at positions 801 to 1347 of the family's 1533-position model. Lineage: Eukaryota; Metazoa; Chordata; Actinopteri; Labriformes; Labridae. The record is from RNAcentral.